This 70-nucleotide microRNA precursor is filed under the name Bombyx mori (domestic silkworm). Its description in RNAcentral is "mir-2774 microRNA precursor family". It matches the Rfam family "mir-2774 microRNA precursor family". Lineage: Eukaryota; Metazoa; Arthropoda; Insecta; Lepidoptera; Bombycidae. The record is from Rfam by way of RNAcentral.
ACAACAUUCGGACCGUCGGUGUACCGAGCUAUAAUAUCAUCCGCUCGGUGGAAGAUCUUCCCUUUGACGU